AGUGAACGCUGGCGGUAGGCCUAACACAUGCAAGUCGAACGGCAGCACAGUAAGAGCUUGCUCUUACGGGUGGCGAGUGGCGGACGGGUGAGGAAUACAUCGGAAUCUACUUUUUCGUGGGGGAUAACGUAGGGAAACUUACGCUAAUACCGCAUACGACCUACGGGUGAAAGCAGGGGAUCUUCGGACCUUGCGCGAUUGAAUGAGCCGAUGUCGGAUUAGCUAGUUGGCGGGGUAAAGGCCCACCAAGGCGACGAUCCGUAGCUGGUCUGAGAGGAUGAUCAGCCACACUGGAACGGAGACACGGUCCAUACUCCUACGGGAGGCAGCAGUGGGGAAUAUUGGACAAUGGGCGCAAGCCUGAUCCAGCCAUACCGCGUGGGUGAAGAAGGCCUUCGGGUUGUAAAGCCCUUUUGUUGGGAAAGAAAAGCAGCAGGUUAAUACCCCGCUGUUCUGACGGUACCCAAAGAAUAAGCACCGGCUAACUUCGUG
This 492-nucleotide ribosomal RNA is filed under the name uncultured bacterium. Its description in RNAcentral is "partial 16S ribosomal RNA". It matches the Rfam family "Bacterial small subunit ribosomal RNA", at positions 29 to 507 of the family's 1533-position model. The record is from RNAcentral.